RNAcentral lists this ribosomal RNA (219 nucleotides) under uncultured bacterium. Its description in RNAcentral is "partial 16S ribosomal RNA". It matches the Rfam family "Bacterial small subunit ribosomal RNA", at positions 524 to 737 of the family's 1533-position model. The record is from RNAcentral.
UACGUAAGGGGUGAGACGUUGUCCGGAAUUAUUGGGCGUAAAGAGCUCGUAGGCGGUCUGUCGCGUCUGCUGUGAAAACUCAGGGCUUAACCCUGAGCUUGCAGUGGGUACGGGCAGACUAGAGGUGCGGUAGGGGAGACUGGAAUUCCUGGUGUAGCGGUGAAAUGCGCAGAUAUCAGGAGGGAACACCGGUGGGCGAAGGCGGGUCUCUUGGGCCGU